This 793-nucleotide ribosomal RNA is filed under the name uncultured Pelagibacteraceae bacterium. RNAcentral's name for it is "bacterial SSU rRNA". It matches the Rfam family "Bacterial small subunit ribosomal RNA", at positions 33 to 873 of the family's 1533-position model. The record is from RNAcentral. Lineage: Bacteria; Pseudomonadati; Pseudomonadota; Alphaproteobacteria; Candidatus Pelagibacterales; Candidatus Pelagibacteraceae.
ACGCUGGCGGCACGCCUAACACAUGCAAGUCGAACGAAGUAGCAAUACUUAGUGGCAGACGGGUGAGUAACAUGUAGGUAUCUGCCCUUUGGCCUGGAAUAACACGAGGAAACUUGUGCUAAUACCAGAUAAGUCUUUACGGAGAAAGCUUUAUGCACCAUUGGAUGAGCCUGCACUUGAUUAGUUUGUUGGUGGGGUAACGGCCUACCAAGACUGUGAUCAAUAGCUGAUUUGAGAGGAUGAUCAGCCACAUUGGGACUGAGACACGGCCCAAACUCCUACGGGAGGCAGCAGUGGGGAAUCUUGCACAAUGGAGGAAACUCUGAUGCAGCGAUGCCGCGUGAGUGAAGAAGGCCCUUGGGUUGUAAAGCUCUUUCGUCGGGGAAGAAAAUGACUGUACCCGAAUAAGAAGGUCCGGCUAACUUCGUGCCAGCAGCCGCGGUAAUACGAAGGGACCUAGCGUAGUUCGGAAUUACUGGGCUUAAAGAGUUCGUAGGUGGUUGAAAAAGUUGGUGGUGAAAUCCCAGAGCUUAACUCUGGAACUGCCAUCAAAACUUUUCAGCUAGAGUAUGAUAGAGGAAAGCAGAAUUUCUAGUGUAGAGGUGAAAUUCGUAGAUAUUAGAAAGAAUACCAAUUGCGAAGGCAGCUUUCUGGAUCAUUACUGACACUGAGGAACGAAAGCAUGGGUAGCGAAGAGGAUUAGAUACCCUCGUAGUCCAUGCCGUAAACGAUGUGUGUUAGACGUUGGAAAUUUAUUUUCAGUGUCGCAGCGAAAGCGAUAAACACACCCGCC